Molecule: ribosomal RNA, 214 nt
Filed under: Pseudomonas schmalbachii
Lineage: Bacteria; Pseudomonadati; Pseudomonadota; Gammaproteobacteria; Pseudomonadales; Pseudomonadaceae
Description: partial 16S ribosomal RNA
Rfam family: Bacterial small subunit ribosomal RNA
Source: RNAcentral
GAACUGAAGAGUUUGAUCAUGGCUCAGAUUGAACGCUGGCGGCAGGCCUAACACAUGCAAGUCGAGCGGAUGAAGGGAGCUUGCUUCCUGAUUCAGCGGCGGACGGGUGAGUAAUGCCUAGGAAUCUGCCUGGUAGUGGGGGACAACGUUUCGAAAGGAACGCUAAUACCGCAUACGUCCUACGGGAGAAAGUGGGGGAUCUUCGGACCUCACG